RNAcentral lists this ribosomal RNA (428 nucleotides) under uncultured Chondromyces sp. Its description in RNAcentral is "bacterial SSU rRNA". It matches the Rfam family "Bacterial small subunit ribosomal RNA", at positions 355 to 776 of the family's 1533-position model. Lineage: Bacteria; Pseudomonadati; Myxococcota; Polyangiales; Polyangiaceae. The record is from RNAcentral.
UGGGGAAUCUUGCGCAAUGGGCGAAAGCCUGACGCAGCGACGCCGCGUGGGUGAUGAAGGCCUUCGGGUUGUAAAGCCCUGUGGAGGGGGAAGAAUAAGGCUUGGCUAAUAUCCAAGUCGAUGACGGUACCCCUUUAGCAAGCACCGGCUAACUCUGUGCCAGCAGCCGCGGUAAGACAGAGGGUGCAAACGUUGUUCGGAAUGACUGGGCGUAAAGCGCGUGUAGGCGGCUCGGCAAGUCGGGUGUGAAAGCCCUGGGCUCAACCCAGGAAGUGCACUCGAAACUGCCGAGCUGGAGUCCCGGAGAGGAAGGCGGAAUUCUCGGUGUAGAGGUGAAAUUCGUAGAUAUCGAGAGGAACACCGGUGGCGAAGGCGGCCUUCUGGACGGCGACUGACGCUGAGACGCGAAAGCGUGGGGAGCAAACAGG